AUUGAACGCUGGCGGCAGGCCUAACACAUGCAAGUCGAACGAGUGGCGGACGGGUGAGUAAUGUCUGGGAAACUGCCUGAUGGAGGGGGAUAACUACUGGAAACGGUAGCUAAUACCGCAUACCAUCAGAUGUGCCCAGAUGGGAUUGGCUUGUUGGUGGGUUAACGGCUAACCAAGGCGCCGAUCCCUAGCUGGUCUGAGAGGAUGACCAGCCACAGUGGAACUGGACCACGGUCGAGACCCCUCCGGUGGUAAGAAGUGGGAAAUAUUGGACAAUGGGCGAAGGCCUGAUGCAGCAAUGCCGGGUAGAUGAAGAGGGCCUUCGGGUUUUAAAGUACGUUAAGCGGGGAGGCGUUACCCGAAGAGAAAGCACCGGCUAACUCCGUGCCAGCAGCCGCGGUAAUAC
Molecule: ribosomal RNA, 406 nt
Filed under: uncultured bacterium
Lineage: Bacteria
Description: partial 16S ribosomal RNA
Rfam family: Bacterial small subunit ribosomal RNA
Source: RNAcentral